This 86-nucleotide transfer RNA is filed under the name Candidatus Roizmanbacteria bacterium RIFCSPHIGHO2_01_FULL_39_8. RNAcentral describes it as "tRNA-Leu". It matches the Rfam family "tRNA". Rfam says of the family: Transfer RNA (tRNA) molecules are approximately 80 nucleotides in length. RNAcentral also lists the same sequence under 2 other names. Lineage: Bacteria; Candidatus Roizmaniibacteriota. The record is from RNAcentral.
GCCCCGAUGCUGGAAUUGGCAGACAGAUACGGCUUAGGACCGUAUGCCCAAAAGGCGUGGAGGUUCAAGUCCUCCUCGGGGCACCA